Molecule: transfer RNA, 65 nt
Filed under: Pseudunio marocanus
Lineage: Eukaryota; Metazoa; Mollusca; Bivalvia; Unionida; Margaritiferidae
Description: tRNA-Tyr
Source: RNAcentral
AGUAAAGUGGCCGACAACUCAAGCAAAAGAUUGUAGCUCUUCCUACGGGACACCCCCCUUUACAC